GCAGAGGGCUGAGUGGCGUGAGGAGGGGCAUGGCCAUGUACCUUCCGUAGGGAGCGCCGGGCCGCCACGCGUAGCCUGACCUGCUGGUUCCACCAGUGUGCCCCGACGAAACCCGCGAAGUGUCCCAACUGCAGCUGUCUUAGGCCGAAGAGACGGCUGAGCAGUGAGGAACAUGAAGUGCUGAAGUAAGAGCUCCAGCUUCAGGAGACCCAAUGCCUCUGGCUAUCACAGACAGGGUUUCUCUGCGUAUCUUUGACUGUCCUGGAACUCACUCUGUACACCAGGCUGGCCUCUGCCCUCCGAGUGCUGGAAUUAAAGGCAUGUGCCACCAUGAACGUCUGGCUCUGAGGUUUUACUAAUAUCAAUCAGAAUUCGUGCUACAGCCACACACACAUGGAAGGAGAGUACUAACUUCAAAUAGCUGUCCUCAGGCCUCCACGCAUGUGCUGUAGCAUGUGCACACAUAAUAAUAAUAAAAAUGUAAACUGAGUCAUUUCUUUCUGUAGUUCUUUGAAGGUGUGUACAUAAAUAUAAUUCUAUCUGCGUUAGUGUUAACUUAUAUAGCAUGGGUGCUGUAGCAGCUGCUCAAUUCUCUCAGGAACUUGUGGGAAGGGGCAAGCCACACCAAACAGUCCGAAUGCUGCUGGGGCUACAGUGACACUGUACAGAAUCAAGAAGGAGGAAGGAACAGGGAGUGAGAAGGUCCAGGAAUAGUGGAACUGGGCCGUGAAUCAUGGUCUCCUGAACUAAUUUAUGCUCAGUA
Alexandromys fortis (reed vole) is the source of this 763-nucleotide long non-coding RNA. RefSeq lists it as uncharacterized. The record is from RefSeq and is a predicted model, not a curated record. The transcript is spliced from 3 exons. NCBI's taxonomy places the organism in Eukaryota, Metazoa, Chordata, Mammalia, Rodentia, Cricetidae.